AGAGUUUGAUCCUGGCUCAGAUUGAACGCUGGCGGCAGGCCUAACACAUGCAAGUCGAACGGUAACAGGAAGAAGCUUGCUUCUUUGCUGACGAGUGGCGGACGGGUGAGUAAUGUCUGGGAAACUGCCUGAUGGAGGGGGAUAACUACUGGAAACGGUAGCUAAUACCGCAUAACGUCGCAAGACCAAAGAGGGGGACCUUCGGGCCUCUUGCCAUCGGAUGUGCCCAGAUGGGAUUAGCUUGUUGGUGGGGUAACGGCUCACCAAGGCGACGAUCCCUAGCUGGUCUGAGAGGAUGACCAGCCACACUGGAACUGAGACACGGUCCAAACUCCUACGGGAGGCUGCAGUGGGGAAUAUUGCACAAUGGGCGCAAGCCUGAUGCAGCCAUGCCGCGUGUAUGAAGAAGGCCUUCGGGUUGUAAAGUACUUUCAGCGGGGAGGAAGGGAGUAAAGUUAAUACCUUUGCUCAUUGACGUUACCCGCAGAAGAAGCACCGGCUAACUCCGUGCCAGCAGCCGCGGUAAUACGUAGGUCCCGAGCGUUAUCCGGAUUUAUUGGGCGUAAAGCGAGCGCAGGCGGUCUGUCAAGUCGGAUGUGAAAUCCCCGGGCUUAACCUGGGAACUGCAUUCGAAACUGGCAGGCUAGAGUCUUGUAGAGGGGGGUAGAAUUCCAGGUGUAGCGGUGAAAUGCGUAGAGAUCUGGAGGAAUACCGGUGGCGAAGGCGGCCCCCUGGACAAAGACUGACGCUCAGGUGCGAAAGCGUGGGGAGCAAACAGGAUUAGAUACCCUGGUAGUCCACGCCGUAAACGAUGUCGAUUUGGAGGUUGUGCCCUUGAGGCGUGGCUUCCGGAGCUAACGCAUUAAGCAUUCCGCCUGGGGAGUACGACCGCAAGGUUGAAACUCAAAGGAAUUGACGGGGGCCCGCACAAGCGGUGGAGUAUGUGGUUUAAUUCGACGCAACGCGAAGAACCUUACCAGGUCUUGACAUCCCGAUGCCAUUUCUAGAGAUAGGAAGUUACUUCGGUACAUCGGUGACAGGUGGUGCAUGGUUGUCGUCAGCUCGUGCUGUGAGAUGUUGGGUUAAGUCCCGCAACGAGCGCAACCCCUAUUGUUAGUUGCCAUCAUUAAGUUGGGCACUCUAGCGAGACUGCCGGUAAUAAACCGGAGGAAGGUGGGGAUGACGUCAAAUCAUCAUGCCCCUUAUGACCUGGGCUACACACGUGCUACAAUGGUUGGUACAACGAGUCGCGAGUCGGUGACGGCAAGCAAAUCUCUUAAAGCCAAUCUCAGUUCGGAUUGUAGGCUGCAACUCGCCUACAUGAAGUCGGAAUCGCUAGUAAUCGCGGAUCAGCACGCCGCGGUGAAUACGAUCCCGGGCCUUGCACUCACCGCCCGUCA
Molecule: ribosomal RNA, 1400 nt
Filed under: human gut metagenome
Description: bacterial SSU rRNA
Rfam family: Bacterial small subunit ribosomal RNA
Source: RNAcentral